Molecule: long non-coding RNA, 1317 nt
Organism: Marmota flaviventris (yellow-bellied marmot)
Lineage: Eukaryota; Metazoa; Chordata; Mammalia; Rodentia; Sciuridae
Source: RefSeq, a predicted model, not a curated record
CCCUGCCCGGCGCCCGGCGGCCCCCACGUCCCGCCCCGGGAAGUGGGCUACUCGUCCGCUCACCGUGAAAGAAAGAAAAGAGAAAAAAGAAGAGUUGUGUGAGGGGCAAGCCUGUAGUCCCAGUCACUCCGGAAUGACUCCAGAGGAUCAGGAGUUGGAGCCUGGGCAAUAUUGCAAGACCCGGCCUGGGGCGGGGACCCCUCUCGGAUGAGGAAAAGCGAGAACCGCCUUACAGGCAGCAGACGUUGUGCUGGACCUCGUCGGUCUUCUCCGUGGUGAGCAGGCAGGUGACUCUAAGAAACAACUCUGUCAAUGGCUCCCCAGUGCUGCCUCACUCACUCCUCAUGACUCGGAGGCUGACAUCCGGCGCUCUUCUUGACAUCACCCCUGGGAGGUCUGAUCAGCCAUUCACACUCAACAUGUCCAAGUGGGCACUCAGCCUCUUCAAAGCUGUACCACCCUGAAUGGCAGCUGCACCUGUCCCCAACCCCUUUCCCCCCAAGGCCACUCUCAGCUCAGCAGCCACAGCCCUCCUGGGAGAAAGAAGCCUGUUGCAGACUCCACCUCAGGCUCCCUCGCCAGCCUCUCUCCUUGGUUCCCAACCGGCCAGGCCGCACCCUCAGCCCUUGCCCCCAGUCUCCUCCAGGGCUUCCUCCUGCACUGGUUGUGGUGACCCUUCCCUCAUGCUCAGCUCGAGCACUGUCUGGUGCCCCCCAUCUUGUAUGUUUUCACUUAUUGUCUGCCCUCCCACUACCACCAGAAGCUAGGAGCUGCAGGCGAGCUAUCUGUUGUCUUCCUUCACUGGUCCUGGGCCCUGGACACAGACCACUAGUUUCAUGGACUGAAGAAGGGUUGGAUGCCCAGGCAAGGCCAGGGCUGAGAGGAAGACCGUGCGCUUAGCACAUGUCAGUACCAACUGUCGACCUGAGCCUGCACUUGUGCAAGUAGUGGGUCCUGGUCCAGCUCCAAGGAGAGCCAGAUGACCCCAUACUUGACUCACAAUUUAAGGUCCGCCUCUCUCUAACUGGUAUAUGUCAUGCCCAUAUCUCCACUCAUUCAACAAUGCAUUUAUUGAGCACCAACUGUGUACCAUGUUCUGACUGAGCACCAAAAUAUGGUGCUGAGAAGACAGACAAGAUCCCAGCACCCAGGAGGGCAGACAGACACUAAGCAAAGAAGCAAACUAAUCAGGGAUGUGUUGAGACUCAUUCAUGUUGUGCAGGGAGCAGUUGUUGACUCUUUUUAUUGCUAUUGAUAAACAUCUGGGCUGUUGCCACUGUUUGAUAUUACAAAUAAAACUGCUAGAACAUUUGUGUG